This 538-nucleotide ribosomal RNA is filed under the name uncultured bacterium. Its description in RNAcentral is "bacterial SSU rRNA". It matches the Rfam family "Bacterial small subunit ribosomal RNA", at positions 358 to 916 of the family's 1533-position model. The record is from RNAcentral.
GGAAUCUUGCACAAUGGAGGAAACUCUGAUGCAGCGAUGCCGCGUGAGUGAAGAAGGCCUUUGGGUUGUAAAGCUCUUUUGUAGGGGAAGAUAAUGACUGUACCCUAAGAAUAAGGUCCGGCUAACUUCGUGCCAGCAGCCGCGGUAAUACGAAGGGACCUAGCGUAGUUCGGAAUUACUGGGCGUAAAGCGCGCGUAGGCCGUUGAGUUAGUUAAUUGUGAAAUCCCAAAGCUUAACUUUGGAACUGCAAUUAAAACCGCUCGACUAGAGUUUGAUAGAGGAAAGCGGAAUACAUAGUGUAGAGGUGAAAUUCGUAGAUAUUAUGUAGAACACCAGUUGCGAAGGCGGCUUUCUGGAUCAACACUGACGCUGAGGCGCGAAAGUAUGGGUAGCAAAGAGGAUUAGAUACCCUCGUAGUCCAUACCAUAAACGAUGAUUGCUAGAUGUUGGAAAUUUAUUUUCAGUAUCGCAGCUAACGCAUUAAGCAAUCCGCCUGGGGAGUACGACCGCAAGGUUAAAACUCAAAUGAAUUGACGG